AAACCAGCACCUCAAGUGGUCAGGAUGAUUAUUGGGCCUAAAGCAUCCGUAGCCUGCUCUGUAAGUUUUCGGUUAAAUCUGUACGCUCAACGUACAGGCUGCCGGGAAUACUGCAGAGCUAGGGAGUGGGAGAGGUAGACGGUACUCGGGAGGAAGUGGUAAAAUGCUUUGAUCUCUCGAUGACCACCUGUGGCGAAGGCGGUCUACCAGAACACGUCCGACGGUGAGGGAUGAAAGCUGGGGGAGCAAACCGGAUUAGAAACCCGAGUAGUCC
Molecule: ribosomal RNA, 274 nt
Filed under: uncultured bacterium
Lineage: Bacteria
Description: partial 16S ribosomal RNA
Rfam family: Archaeal small subunit ribosomal RNA
Source: RNAcentral